RNAcentral lists this long non-coding RNA (341 nucleotides) under Mytilus galloprovincialis (Mediterranean mussel). The record is from RNAcentral. Lineage: Eukaryota; Metazoa; Mollusca; Bivalvia; Mytilida; Mytilidae.
CUCCAUAUUUAAAUUAAAUUAUUGGCACUCAUUAAGGAUGUGAAUGUAUUCCUUCAUACAAUUGUUUCGAUAUCAUCCAUGAAAUAGAAGAACAUACUUUGUGAGUUUAUUAAAACAGAAGACAAGAAUGCUCGGGCGUGCGCAUGUCAUAAGAUAUCAUAAACCGUUGACAGCAUAUUACCUCUCUUGAUUACAAUAAGUAAUCCCUUAUUGUUACACUUAGACUCUUAAGAAUAAACUACCAGUAUAUAUUCAAAAUGUAAAUUAACGUAAAUCCUGUUAUAUUUUUUAUGUGAUUUCGUGUUUACAGAUGGUAAGGUUGCCACAGAAUUUAAAAUUCA